This 610-nucleotide ribosomal RNA is filed under the name uncultured bacterium. RNAcentral describes it as "bacterial SSU rRNA". The stretch from base 1 to 522 matches the Rfam family "Bacterial small subunit ribosomal RNA", at positions 338 to 873 of the family's 1533-position model. The record is from RNAcentral.
CCUACGGGAGGCAGCAGUGGGGAAUAUUGGACAAUGGGCGAAAGCCUGAUCCAGCAAUGCCGCGUGAGUGAUGAAGGCCUUCGGGUCGUAAAGCUCUUUUACCAGGGAUGAUAAUGACAGUACCUGGAGAAUAAGCUCCGGCUAACUCCGUGCCAGCAGCCGCGGUAAUACGGAGGGAGCUAGCGUUGUUCGGAAUUACUGGGCGUAAAGAGUACGUAGGCGGUUAUUCAAGUCAGAGGUGAAAGCCCGGGGCUCAACCCCGGAACUGCCUUUGAAACUAGAUAACUAGAGUCUUGGAGAGGUUAGUGGAAUUCCGAGUGUAGAGGUGAAAUUCGUAGAUAUUCGGAAGAACACCAGUGGCGAAGGCGACUAACUGGACAAGUACUGACGCUGAGGUACGAAAGCGUGGGGAGCAAACAGGAUUAGAUACCCUGGUAGUCCACGCCGUAAACGAUGAUAACUAGUUGUUCGGUCACUUGGUGUACUGAGUAGACGCAGACUACGACAUUAAGUUAUUCCGUCCGUCGGGUAGGUACGGUCGUCGAGAAGUAAACGUAACGAAAGAAAGUAGACGGCGNGUAAGAGUGCGAGACGACGACGAGGGAGGAGG